This 253-nucleotide ribosomal RNA is filed under the name uncultured bacterium. RNAcentral's name for it is "partial 16S ribosomal RNA". It matches the Rfam family "Bacterial small subunit ribosomal RNA", at positions 524 to 776 of the family's 1533-position model. The record is from RNAcentral.
UACGGAGGGUGCAAGCGUUAUCCGGAUUCACUGGGUUUAAAGGGAGCGUAGGUGGCUUUGUAAGUCAGUGGUGAAAUAUUGCGGCUCAACCGCAAAACUGCCAUUGAUACUGCUUAGCUUGAAUCACGUCGAGGUGGAUGGAAUAAUACAUGUAGCGGUGAAAUGCUUAGAUAUGUAUUAGAACACCGAUUGCGAAGGCAGUUCACUAGGCGUGUAUUGACACUGAGGCUCGAAAGCGUGGGGAGCGAACAGG